UUAUACAUGCAAGUCGAGCGAAUGAUGAAGAAGCUUGCUUCUUCUGAUUUAGCGGCGGACGGGUGAGUAACACGUGGGCAACCUACCUAGUAGAUUGGGAUAACUCCGGGAAACCGGGGCUAAUACCGAAUAAUUCAUUUCACCUCAUGGUGAGAUGCUGAAAGGCGGUUUCGGCUGUCACUACUAGAUGGGCCCGCGGUGCAUUAGCUAGUUGGUGGGGUAAUGGCCUACCAAGGCAACGAUGCAUAGCCGACCUGAGAGGGUGAUCGGCCACAUUGGGACUGAGACACGGCCCAAACUCCUACGGGAGGCAGCAGUAGGGAAUCUUCCACAAUGGACGAAAGUCUGAUGGAGCAACGCCGCGUGAGUGAUGAAGGUUUUCGGAUCGUAAAACUCUGUUGUAAGGGAAGAACAAGUACGUUAGUAACUGAACGUACCUUGACGGUACCUUAUUAGAAAGCCACGGCUAACUACGUGCCAGCAGCCGCGGUAAUACGUAGGUGGCAAGCGUUGUCCGGAUUUAUUGGGCGUAAAGCGCGCGCAGGUGGUUUCUUAAGUCUGAUGUGAAAGCCCACGGCUCAACCGUGGAGGGUCAUUGGAAACUGGGAGACUUGAGUGCAGAAGAGGAAAGUGGAAUUCCAAGUGUAGCGGUGAAAUGCGUAGAGAUUUGGAGGAACACCAGUGGCGAAGGCGACUUUCUGGUCUGUAACUGACACUGAGGCGCGAAAGCGUGGGGAGCAAACAGGAUUAGAUACCCUGGUAGUCCACGCCGUAAACGAUGAGUGCUAAGUGUUAGGGGGUUUCCGCCCCUUAGUGCUGCAGCUAACGCAUAAGCACUCCGUCCU
This 845-nucleotide ribosomal RNA is filed under the name Viridibacillus sp. RNAcentral's name for it is "bacterial SSU rRNA". It matches the Rfam family "Bacterial small subunit ribosomal RNA", at positions 49 to 873 of the family's 1533-position model. Lineage: Bacteria; Bacillati; Bacillota; Bacilli; Caryophanales; Caryophanaceae. The record is from RNAcentral.